CUAACUUUCUCUUUGUAGGCUAUUUCUGCAUGUACUCCAGAAGGAGUUACCUGUAAACAUCUCUCCAAGUUCUCAAAAUUUAUCAGCUCACCAUGGAGGAAGAAAAGUUAACGGCAUGCCUUGAACUGGAAGCUUCUGGGAAUCUCAUUGUCUUAUUUUCAUCGCAAGCUAUUAACCUCACAUCGGAUUUUGUGAUGUGGACAAUGGAUUGGUUUCUUCCUGCUGAGCAGUUGAACUGUUGCUCAAGAGCGCUGUCAUCAGCAAAGAUGACUUAUUUUGAUGAUCUGCUCCAGAGCUGUCUCUGCUUUCCCUUAGAGGAUUUGGUGCCACAUCGGAUGGGUGAUGGAAUUCAUCCUUAUCUAACAUUAGUAUCUGUUUCAACCCACAGAAAAGGAGUGGGACUGCUUUUCUUGACCCACAGAGGCUGGGUCAAGAUGUACUGAUGUCGAAUGUUUUUCUUGGAAUACCCCAAUACUUCAGUGUGUCCCAAAAUGAAUCAUAAGGAAGUCUGUCAAACUCCUUCUCAAAAUCUGCUUGGUGUGGAAUUUGCCACUGGAUACUUAAUCUGAUGGUUGUCCUGAGGAUGCGAUAUCUGUUUGACACAUGAUCUUCCCAGGUUUAAGCAAACCUUGUCAAAACAGAAAAAAAGAAGCAUUAAGCAGCAAUUUUGAACUGAACUGAAGAACAGAUUUCACACAUGAGAAGGCUUAAGAUCCAGCACAAGAAGCCAACAUGGGCAUAUUCUUGUCUUCAUGCUAUUGUAAUUGUUUGAGUUGGUGAACUGCAUAACUAGCAUCUGGAUUAGUGAGAACUUGUGGUGCUGCAUAAAGAAAGAGGACACCUCGAGGUGUUUAAGAACCAUGGAGAUGUGGCACUUGGGGACAUGGUCAGUGGGCAUGGUGGGAUGGGUUGGGGUUGAGUUUGAUCUUGGAGAUCUUUUUCAACUUCAGUGAUUCUAUGAGUAAGCACUGGGAACAAAAUAUGAGACCAGAUUAUAAGUCUAUUGCAAAGGGUAAGACAGACACGCCAAAAAGAGCAUGAUUGGAGAUGCUCAGUAAUGCUACCAGCUCAGUGGGAAGGAUGUCCCCAAACUUUGUAGCUUAGGGAGGCUGAAGUGGACAGAGUCAGGAGGCAGUCUGUGAUGGUGUUGUCCAGUAGAUGUGAAAAAGGAGGAGGAAGAAAAUGAAAGAAAGGUGCAUAUCUUUCCAAAGACUAUAAAGUUUUACACUGCCACCAAAUUUUUGCUCCAAAUGUAGAUCUUCCUAAAUUUAGGUGAUGUCACUGCAGCUUAAAGUGUUUCCAGAGUCAGACAGCGCUGUGCAGUAGCUGUUUAAAUAGCCUUUUUUUGACCCAAACGCUGUGCACUGGUGCUAGUCAGUGUAAAUACCACCCU
Long non-coding RNA from Gallus gallus (chicken), 1393 nucleotides. Lineage: Eukaryota; Metazoa; Chordata; Aves; Galliformes; Phasianidae. The record is from Ensembl.